GGAAAGUGAAGGAUCUUCGGACUUCACGCAAUUGGAUGAGCCUGCGUAAGAUUAGCUAGUUGGUGGGUAAAGGCCUACCAAGCGACGAUCUUUAGCUGGUCAAGAUGAUCAGCCACACUGGGACUGAGACACGGCCCAGACUCCUACGGGAGGCAGCAGUGGGGAAUAUUGGACAAUGGGCGCAAGCCUGAUCCAGCAAUACCGCGUGUGUGAAGAAGGCCCGAGGGUUGUAAAGCACUUUUAUGAGAGAAGAAAAGUUAGUAGUUAAUACCUGCUAACCNNNACGGAUCUCAAGAAGAA
This 300-nucleotide ribosomal RNA is filed under the name Eubostrichus dianae epibacterium 3_44. RNAcentral describes it as "bacterial SSU rRNA". It matches the Rfam family "Bacterial small subunit ribosomal RNA", at positions 201 to 489 of the family's 1533-position model. The record is from RNAcentral. Lineage: Bacteria; Pseudomonadati; Pseudomonadota; Gammaproteobacteria.